Molecule: ribosomal RNA, 746 nt
Filed under: cyanobacterium enrichment culture clone 2_4_2.1.7_F03-T7
Lineage: Bacteria; Bacillati; Cyanobacteriota
Description: bacterial SSU rRNA
Rfam family: Bacterial small subunit ribosomal RNA
Source: RNAcentral
CGAACGGAUGUUUUCGGACAUUAGUGGCGGACGGGUGAGUAACGCGUGAGGAUCUGCCCUCAGGAUGGGGACAACAGUUGGAAACGACUGCUAAUACCCGAUGUGCCGAAAGGUGAAACUAUUUGGCCUGAGGAUGAGCUCGCGUCUGAUUAGCUAGUUGGAGUGGUAAUGGCACACCAAGGCGACGAUCAGUAGCUGGUCUGAGAGGAUGAUCAGCCACACUGGGACUGAGGCACGGCCCAGACUCCUACGGGAGGCAGCAGUGGGGAAUUUUCCGCAAUGGGCGAAAGCCUGACGGAGCAAGACCGCGUGGGGGACGAAGGUUUGUGGAUUGUAAACCCCUUUUGAUUGGGAAGAAGUUCUGACGGUACCAAUCGAAUCAGCAUCGGCUAACUCCGUGCCAGCAGCCGCGGUAAUACGGAGGAUGCAAGCGUUAUCCGGAAUUAUUGGGCGUAAAGCGUCCGUAGGUGGUUGGUCAAGUCAGUUGUUAAAGCGUGGGGCUUAACCCCAUAAAGGCAAAUGAAACUGGUCAGCUAGAGUGCGAUAGGGGCAAGGGGAAUUUCCAGUGUAGCGGUGAAAUGCGUAGAUAUUGGAAAGAACACCGGUGGCGAAAGCGCCUUGCUGGGUCUGCACUGACACUGAGGGACGAAAGCUAGGGGAGCGAAAGGGAUUAGAUACCCCUGUAGUCCUAGCCGUAAACGAUGGAUACUAGGCGUUGUCCGUAUCGACCCGAGCCGUGCCGAAGC